AACGAACGCUGGCGGCGUGCCUCAUACAUGCAAGUCGUACGCGAAUCCUGCCGCAAGGCAGGGUUUGAGUGGCAAACGGGUGCGUAACACGUAGGUAAUCUUCCUUUGAGUUGGGGAUAAACCCUCGAAAGGGGUCGUAAUACCGAAUAACACUUCUGGUUGGCAUCAACCGGAAAUUAAAGAAUGGCCUCUGCUUGCAAGCUAUCGACUCGGAGAUGAGCCUGCGGCCGAUAGUUAGUUGGCGGAUAAAGCCCACCAAGACUUCGAUCGGUAGCCGGUCUGAGAGGAUGUCCGGCCACACUGGGACCUGAGAUACGGCCCAGACUCCUACGGGAGGCAGC
This 341-nucleotide ribosomal RNA is filed under the name uncultured bacterium. RNAcentral describes it as "bacterial SSU rRNA". It matches the Rfam family "Bacterial small subunit ribosomal RNA", at positions 29 to 352 of the family's 1533-position model. The record is from RNAcentral.